UUUUAACUGUGAUGACACCUCAGUAAAAUGUUAUGCAACUUCGGUGUCUUUUAAAUAUUCUGUGAUACUUUCAGAGGAAAUUUUCCAGUACAUAAAAUCAUCUCUUGUGUUACCCGAGAGAAUGACAACGCUGUUUUAAAAAUUACACUGAAAUUCCUAGAAAAUCAAACCAAACCAAAAACCUCACUGUUUUUUAUUUUCCUGGUAAAUAAAUAUUUUUUCUUUGUCAUAUUUAGGUUGUGGUGAGAGUUACGUAAUAUGUCUGAGAGUACAUUAUUUACCAUAAAUCUUUGUACAGACACUCCUAUUUUUAUUAGCUAUUUUCAAAAUAUCAGAAACUAAUAAUUCCCCUUCAUUUCCACAGAGCAAUAGUGAUCCUAGACCAAAUUCUUUCUUUUUCUCUCCAAAUUGGUUAUGAUCCUACUUCUUCAGGUUGGUCCACUAUAUUUAGGCAUGAAGGACAAGGAGAGACAAGCUGUCACUGGUCAACAGCAGCAGCAACAACAACAAAACAGAUACAAGGGCUUUUCAGGUAAUAUUUGAAUAUAUGAUUGUUCAGAAAUAAUUGAAAGAUAUAGGCUUGGCAGCUCUUUAGGGGUUGGAAGAAGACCAUGAAGCUCUAAGUGCUUCAGAGGAAUGGGGUUGCCAAAACAGAUGUGAGAGACACAGAGAGGAGGCUGGGCCAGUGCUGAAGGUAAAGAUCCAAUUCACCGUUCCGGCUAAACUUGAUCUUACCGGUAGUUUCAAUAAAAUAAAGUAACACCUAUUUCUCCUAAGAAUUUACUAUUGACUUUUUAAGAAGCAAAUAUACCAUUGGCUUAGAAAAUAAUGGGUUAUUGUUUUCCUUUUGAAUACAGUUUUCUUUUUCUUUUUUACUUUAUUUUUCAUACCUCCAAGCAGCACCAGAACAGAUGAAUUCAGUUUUCUGUGCAUGUAUUCUCCAGGGAGAGUCGGGGGAAAAUUUUUACUUUUGUAGUGGCUGGAAAGUAUAUGUUUCUUCAUAGCAAGGAAAAGUUGUGUAUGACACUUCAAAAGUAGAGUCCUUCAGUUCCUCCUGGGGACCAGCGUAGCAGCUGCUAUGA
Molecule: long non-coding RNA, 1082 nt
Filed under: Papio anubis (olive baboon)
Lineage: Eukaryota; Metazoa; Chordata; Mammalia; Primates; Cercopithecidae
Description: lncRNA (ENSPANG00000050922.1)
Source: RNAcentral